GCAGCCGCGGUAAUUCCAGCUCCAAUAGCGUAUAUUAAAGUUGUUGCAGUUAAAAAGCUCGUAGUUGGAUUUCUGCGAGGGUGCCAAUGUCCGCCGACGCGCGUGCGCAGCGGCGCCCUCGCAUCCUUCUGUUACCACCUCUCGGCAUUCACUUGCCGGUGGUCGGCUCAGAGAAUUUACCUUGAGAAAAUUAGAGUGUUUCAGGCAGGCUAGGCCGGAAUACAUUAGCAUGGAAUAAUGGAAUAGGACUACGGUCUCGUUGUUGGUUUGAGGGACUGCAGUAAUGAUUAAUAGGGAUAGUUGGGGGCAUUAGUAUUUAAUUGUCAGAGGUGAAAUUCUCAGAUUUGUUAAAGACUAACUUAUGCGAAAGCAUUUGCCAAGGAUGUUUUCAUUGAUCAAGAACGAAAGU
This 409-nucleotide ribosomal RNA is filed under the name uncultured eukaryote. RNAcentral's name for it is "SSU rRNA". It matches the Rfam family "Eukaryotic small subunit ribosomal RNA", at positions 570 to 990 of the family's 1831-position model. The record is from RNAcentral.